RNAcentral lists this unclassified non-coding RNA (433 nucleotides) under soil metagenome. RNAcentral's name for it is "partial contains 5.8S ribosomal RNA, internal transcribed spacer 2, and large subunit ribosomal RNA". The stretch from base 1 to 120 matches the Rfam family "5.8S ribosomal RNA", at positions 35 to 154 of the family's 154-position model. The record is from RNAcentral.
GAUGAAGAACGUAGCGAAAUGAGAUACGUAAUGUGAAUUGCAGAAUUCAGUGAAUCAUCGAAUCUUUGAACGCAUAUUGCGCUCUCUGGUAUUCCGGAGAGCAUGCUUGUUUGAGUAUCAGUAAACACCUCAACUCCCUUUUCUUUUUUGAAAUGGGAGCUGGACUUGAGUGAUCCCAACACUUUUCUCACUGGAAAGUGGCGGGUCACUUGAAAUGCAGGUGCAGCUGGACUUUUCUCUGAGCUAUAAGCAUAUCUAUUUAGUCUGCCUAAAAAACAGAUUAUUACCUUUGCUGCAGCUAACAUAAAGGAGAUGAGUUCUUGUGCUGACUGAUGCAGGAUUCACAGAGACAGCUUUGCGGCUGACUUUGUAAACUCGAUCUCAAAUCAAGUAAGACUACCCGCUGAACUUAAGCAUAUCAAUAAGCGGAGGA